AACGAACGCUGGCGGCAUGCCUAACACAUGCAAGUCGAACGAGACCUUCGGGCCUAGUGGCGCACGGAUGCGUGACGCGUGGGAACCUGCCCUUGGGUUCGGCAUAACUCCCCGAAAGAGGUGCGAAUACCGGAGCAUAUAUUCCAUCCAAAGAGUUAUCGCCUUUGGGUGGGCGCGCGUUGCAUACGCUUGUUGGUAGGGUAAAAGCCUACCACGGCGACGAUCCGUAACUGGUCUGAGAGGAUGAUCAGCCACACUGGGACUGAGACACGGCCCAGACUCCUACGGGAGGCAGCAGUGGGGAAUAUUGGACAAUGGGCGAAAGCCUGAUGCAGCAAGGCCGCGUGAGUGAUGAAGGCCUUGGGGUUGUAAAGCUCUUUUACCCGGGACGAUAAUGACAGUACCGGGAGAAUAAGCUCCGGCUAACUCCGUG
RNAcentral lists this ribosomal RNA (433 nucleotides) under uncultured bacterium. Its description in RNAcentral is "partial 16S ribosomal RNA". It matches the Rfam family "Bacterial small subunit ribosomal RNA", at positions 29 to 507 of the family's 1533-position model. The record is from RNAcentral.